RNAcentral lists this ribosomal RNA (468 nucleotides) under uncultured bacterium. RNAcentral's name for it is "partial 16S ribosomal RNA". It matches the Rfam family "Bacterial small subunit ribosomal RNA", at positions 28 to 507 of the family's 1533-position model. The record is from RNAcentral.
GACGAACGCUGGCGGCGUGCUUAACACAUGCAAGUCGAACGGAAAGGCCCUGCUUUUGUGGGGUGCUCGAGUGGCGAACGGGUGAGUAACACGUGAGUAACCUGCCCUUGACUUUGGGAUAACUUCAGGAAACUGGGGCUAAUACCGGAUAGGAGCUCCUGCUGCAUGGUGGGGGUUGGAAAGUUUCGGCGGUUGGGGAUGGACUCGCGGCUUAUCAGCUUGUUGGUGGGGUAGUGGCUUACCAAUGCUUUGACGGGUAGCCGGCCUGAGAGGGUGACCGGCCACAUUGGGACUGAGAUACGGCCCAGACGCCUACGGGAGACAGCAGUGGGGAAUAUUGCGCAAUGGGCGGAAGCCUGAUGCAGCGACUCCGCGUGCGGGAUGACGGCCUGCGGGUUGUAAACCGCUUUCGCCUGUGACGAAGCGUGAGUGACGGUAAUGGGUAAAGAAGCACCGGCUAACUACGUG